This 690-nucleotide ribosomal RNA is filed under the name uncultured bacterium. RNAcentral describes it as "bacterial SSU rRNA". It matches the Rfam family "Bacterial small subunit ribosomal RNA", at positions 9 to 680 of the family's 1533-position model. The record is from RNAcentral.
GAGUUUGAUCCUGGCUCAGGAUAAACGCUGGCGGCGCACAUAAGACAUGCAAGUCGAACGAAGAUCGUUACAAACUGGAGAGAAGAUUUAUCGGAUUGAAAGAUUGUAACAAUGGUCUUAGUGGCGGACUGGUGAGUAACGCGUAAGUAACCUGCCUGUUAGAGGGGAAUAACAAUGAGAAAUCAUUGCUAAUACCGCAUAUGCCAUAGGUAUCACAUGAUACUAGUGGGAAAGGAGUAAUUCGCUAACAGAUGGACUUGCGUCUGAUUAGAUAGUUGGUGGGGUAACGGCCUACCAAGUCGACGAUCAGUAGCCGGACUGAGAGGUUGAACGGCCACAUUGGGACUGAGAUACGGCCCAGACUCCUACGGGAGGCAGCAGUCGGGAAUAUUGCGCAAUGGAGGAAACUCUGACGCAGUGACGCCGCGUAUAGGAAGAAGGUUUUCGGAUUGUAAACUAUUGUCGUUAGGGAAGAGAAAGGACAGUACCUAAGGAGGAAGCUCCGGCUAACUACGUGCCAGCAGCCGCGGUAAUACGUAGGGAGCGAGCGUUAUCCGGAAUUAUUGGGUGUAAAGGGUGCGUAGACGGGAAUGCAAGUUAGUUGUGAAAUCCCUCGGCUUAACUGAGGAACUGCAACUAANACUACAUUUCUUGAGUGCAGGAGAGGUAAGUGGAAUUCCUAGUGUAGCG